GAUGGAUGCCACACAGCUUGGCAAACCUUUUCCCCCAGGCAGCUGGUUUGUUAAGCUUUUUCCAGCGCUCCGCUAGGAAGGUCUUUCCCAUCUGCCUUUCCGGGCUUCCUGCAAUCACCAGGUCAAGUUCACCUACGUCCCGCUCUGCUGAGUCCUUUCCUCUCCCUUACCUCUCCUUGAGCCGGUUCAGUUUGGCCCUGCCUUCAGGUCCAGAAAGACUUCCUUCUCCGCCCUUCAAGAUAACAGAUCGGUGAGUACUGAAUGUGUCAUAGAACUGCCCAGAUGCAAUUUCUUUUUUCUUUUUUCUUCAGUUAUUUAUUUUUGAGAGAGACAGAGCACCCAAGCAGCGGAGGGGCAGAGAGAGAGAGAGAGAGGGAGACACAAAAUCCCAAGCGGGCUCCAGGCUCUGAGCUGUCGGCACAGAGCCCGACGCAGGGCUUGAACCCACGAACCGUGAGAUCGUGACCUGAGCCGAAGGCCAACAACGCUUAACCGGCUGAGCCCCCCAGGCGCCCCUACCCAGAUCCGUUUUAAAACAGACUCAGUUUUCCAGAGAGGGCGGAUGCUGGGCUGAACCGGCAGCGGUCUCAUCAGCCUCAAGAGUGCCUGGUGACGCCUCUGAGCACAGAAUGCCAUUCCUGUUACUUUUCCCGGACCCGCAUCAACACGUCCUGAAAAGCUGGCGUCCUGAGAAAGGUGAUCUCCGUCAUGGAAGAGAGAGACAGAGCAUGAACAGGGAGGAGCAGAGAGAGAGGGAGACACAGAAUCCGAAGCUGGCUCCAGGCUCCGAGCUGUCGGCACAGAGCCCGACGCAGGGCUCGAACUCACGGACUGUGGUCUCACUGUUGUUUUCAAACAAGGUACACAUUCGCAGAAAAUUACAUAGCAAUCCUACGGACUUAGGUAAGAAUGAAAGAUUUACGUUCUCGUGUUCUUGGUGGUGCCUUCGGCACGAGUGAAAACCAAACGAACAGAAAGUCAGGCAAACAACAGAAAAAAAAGGAAAAAAAAAAACCCAACCCUGCAGGCCUCCGGGUUCUCCAGAUCCGGAGAUUUCAGCUUGGGUCAUGAGCUCAUGGGGUUGUGAGUUCGAGCCCCAGAUGGGGCUCUACAGUGACAGUGCAGAGCCUGCUUGGGAUUCCCUCUCUCUCUCCCCCUUUCUUUCUCUCUCUCUCUCUCCCUCGCUCUGUCUCUCCCCCCUCUCAAAAUAAAUAAAUAAACAUUAAAAAAAAUAAUACUCACCUUAAAAGGGUGUUUGUUAGAAAAAUAAAAAAAAUAAAACGUCCUCAUGGACCGUCUUGAGAUUUGAGCAUGCAAAUCGUGUGGGACCAACAGACUGUCUUGGCUUAUAAGAUUCUUAAAUUAGAAGCAACAGAAAUACGGUGGAGGAGGGUCAGGGGCGAAAUGUGAGAUUCUUAAGUUGUAAACAGCGGAGGUAAAAUUUGGACGCAUUGAGUCAAAGUGGGCCACACCAUACGGCUUCUGGAGCGUCCCCUGCAGCCAGGAGCAGAGAGAGGCAGUGUAGGACUCGGAGGCUGUAGGACUGUCUCCACCGCUGUCCCCUGUCCCCUCUCGGUCCCUGCCUUUCUCUCUGCGGACAGCUGUCCUUUGCCUCUGUGUCCCACGCGAUGGGGGGGCCGGCUCCGCUCGCCGCUCUCACAAGGCUGACCUCACUCAUAUGCUACCUGACUGAUGAAAACGGGUUCCCCUUUAAAUUCCCGGGGUGGAAAUCUGGCCCAGCCUAGGUCAAGUGUCCCCCGCGGAACACCCCCCCCCGUCCCCCCCAGGGAUGGGCCGGAGGGUGGGGUCAGCUAGAGCAGAGAGGGUGUGUGCGCCCUGCUGGACCUGCAGCUCAGGGCUGCUUUGCAGGGAAGGAGGAAUCCUUGUGACCUGAGAGUCUGACACAGCAUCGCACGGCCAGGGUCUCGAGGGAGGGUGGUAGUGUGGAGGCGGCCCAGCCGAAUCGCCCCCUUCCUGCCGUGUGCCCCCCUCCCCCGCCAUGACUCUUUCUCUCCUAGUCUCGUUGUGUGUCCGAAAGAUUGAAGCUGUCCUAUUUGUUUCGGAGAGACUCACGGGGAUUACGCGCGUAGAACUCUAGAACAAGCAGGUGGUGGUUUUGUUUUACUCAUCUGCAGGUGUUGGUGUCUUUCUCUAAGGAGGAAAGUGACGGUCACGUGUCGCUGAGGUGUGCUGGGGCUUGAGGAGAGCGUGGGGCCGGGCCUCCUCUUUUUCUUUUUUUUUUUUUUUAAUUUUUUUUUUUUAACGUUUUAUUUAUUUUUGAGACAGA
Molecule: long non-coding RNA, 2287 nt
Organism: Felis catus (domestic cat)
Lineage: Eukaryota; Metazoa; Chordata; Mammalia; Carnivora; Felidae
Exons: 3
Source: RefSeq, a predicted model, not a curated record